This 497-nucleotide ribosomal RNA is filed under the name uncultured bacterium. RNAcentral describes it as "partial 16S ribosomal RNA". It matches the Rfam family "Bacterial small subunit ribosomal RNA", at positions 28 to 507 of the family's 1533-position model. The record is from RNAcentral.
GAUGAACGCUGGCGGCGUGCCUAAUACAUGCAAGUCGAGCGAACAGACGAGGAGCUUGCUCCUCUGACGUUAGCGGCGGACGGGGGAGUAACACGUGGAUAACCUACCUAUAAGACUGGGAUAACUUCGGGAAACCGGAGCUAAUACCGGAUAAUAUAUUGAACCGCAUGGUUCAAUAGUGAAAGACGGUUUUGCUGUCACUUAUAGAUGGAUCCGCGCCGCAUUAGCUAGUUGGUAAGGUAACGGCUUACCAAGGCAACGAUGCGUAGCCGACCUGAGAGGAUGAUCGGCCACACUGGAACUGAGACACGGUCCAGACUCCUACGGGAGGCAGCAGUAGGGAAUCUUCCGCAAUGGGCGAAAGCCUGACGGAGCAACGCCGCGUGAGUGAUGAAGGUCUUCGGAUCGUAAAACUCUGUUAUUAGGGAAGAACAAAUGUGUAAGUAACUAUGCACGUCUUGACGGUACCUAAUCAGAAAGCCACGGCUAACUACGUG